Molecule: non-coding RNA, 579 nt
Organism: Lupinus albus (white lupine)
Lineage: Eukaryota; Viridiplantae; Streptophyta; Magnoliopsida; Fabales; Fabaceae
Source: the annotation of a GenBank genome assembly
UAAUUCAUAUGCGCCGUUCAUCUCUUAUUCACUCUCUAGGUUUUAUCAUUUGUAUUUGUUUGUUUUCUCUUCUUUAAGCUUUCAAGUUACUCAGCCAAAUGAUGAAUCUUCGAAUUGCCGAGUACUCAAACAUUGAUUUGAAUACUGUGAAUCAGCAUUUGAAUAGGAAGAUCUGAUGCAUACUUUUUUCGUUUUUCUUUUAAACUCGUGGAUAACAAAUAUAUUGCAUCUGCGUGCUUUUUCAUGUUUUCUUUUACAUUUUUAUUUAUUUAUGAACUGGUAUUCGGCUAAUUACGUUUAUAUUUGUAGCCGAUGAUGCAGACAAUAUUGAGACUUUCUGAAAUGCAAAUUGUUGCGUUUUUGUGUUGAAAACUUUGAACUAGGACGGUCUGAGGCUACUAUAAUCGAUUAGUACAUUGUUUUUUUUCAUUUUUUAAAAACGUAUUGUAUAUUUUGGUGUUUAGAUUUGUGAUUUGAUUUUGAAAUCCCCAAACAGUGUUCUGGAUGAUGAGAAAAAUAUUUUUACAGUUAUCCCUGACAUAGAAUAUAUGUGCUGAAAAUAUUUUAUCUGACACACUG